This 468-nucleotide ribosomal RNA is filed under the name uncultured bacterium. RNAcentral describes it as "partial 16S ribosomal RNA". It matches the Rfam family "Bacterial small subunit ribosomal RNA", at positions 28 to 507 of the family's 1533-position model. The record is from RNAcentral.
GACGAACGCUGGCGGCGUGCUUAACACAUGCAAGUCGAACGGAAAGGCCCUGCUUUUGUGGGGUGCUCGAGUGGUGAACGGGUGAGUAACACGUGAGUAACCUGCCCCUGACUUUGGGAUAACUUCAGGAAACUGGGGCUAAUACCGGAUAGGAGCUCCUGCUGCAUGGUGGGGGUUGGAAAGUUUCGGCGGUUGGGGAUGGACUCGCGGCUUAUCAGCUUGUUGGUGGGGUAGUGGCUUACCAAGGCUUUGACGGGUAGCCGGCCUGAGAGGGUGACCGGCCACAUUGGGACUGAGAUACGGCCCAGACUCCUACGGGAGGCAGCAGUGGGGAAUAUUGCACAAUGGGCGGAAGCCUGAUGCAGCAACGCCGCGUGCGGGAUGACGGCCUUCGGGUUGUAAACCGCUUUCGCCUGUGACGAAGCGUGAGUGACGGUAAUGGGUAAAGAAGCACCGGCUAACUACGUG